RNAcentral lists this ribosomal RNA (520 nucleotides) under uncultured Glomus. RNAcentral describes it as "SSU rRNA". It matches the Rfam family "Eukaryotic small subunit ribosomal RNA", at positions 569 to 1091 of the family's 1831-position model. Lineage: Eukaryota; Fungi; Glomeromycota; Glomeromycetes; Glomerales; Glomeraceae. The record is from RNAcentral.
AGCAGCCGCGGUAAUUCCAGCUCCAAUAGCGUAUAUUAAAGUUGUUGCAGUUAAAAAGCUCGUAGUUGAAUUUCGGGAUCAAAUUGUCGGUCGUGCCUCGGUACGAACUGGUAUUAUUGGUUCCUACCUUCUGAAGAACCGCGAUGUCAUUAAUUUGGUGUCGUGGGGAAUCAGGACUGUUACUUUGAAAAAAUUAGAGUGUUUAAAGCAGGCUUACGCUUGAAUACAUUAGCAUGGAAUAAUGAAAUAGGACGUUUGAUUCUAUUUUGUUGGUUUCUAGGAUUGACGUAAUGAUUAAUAGGGAUAGUUGGGGGCAUUAGUAUUCAAUUGUCAGAGGUGAAAUUCUUGGAUUUAUUGAAGACUAACUACUGCGAAAGCAUUUGCCAAGGAUGUUUUCAUUAAUCAAGAACGAAAGUUAGGGGAUCGAAGACGAUCAGAUACCGUCGUAGUCUUAACCAUAAACUAUGCCGACUAGGGAUCGGAUGAUGUUAAUUUUUUAAUGACUCAUUCGGCGCCUUAC